This 1404-nucleotide ribosomal RNA is filed under the name uncultured bacterium. RNAcentral describes it as "partial 16S ribosomal RNA". It matches the Rfam family "Bacterial small subunit ribosomal RNA". The record is from RNAcentral.
AGAGUUUGAUCCUGGCUCAAAACGAACGCUGGCGGCGCGUCUUAAGCAUGCAAGUCGAGCGGCAAGCUAUGUGUUUACACGUAGCCUAGAGCGGCGGACUGGUGAGUAACACGUGGGUGACCUACCUAAAAGUUGGGAAUAGCCGUUAGAAAUAGCGGGUAAUACCGAAUGUGCUUACAGGAAGAAAGUCUUGUAAGGAAAGGAGCUACGGCUUCGCUUUUAGAUGGGCCCGCGCCCCAUUAGCUAGUUGGUGGAGUAAAAGCCUACCAAGGCGAUGAUGGGUAGCCGGCCUGAGAGGGUGAACGGCCACACUGGGACUGAGAUACGGCCCAGACUCCUACGGGAGGCAGCAGCUAAGAAUAUUCCGCAAUGGACGAAAGUCUGACGGAGCGACGCCGCGUGGAUGAUGAAGGCCGGAAGGUUGUAAAAUCCUUUUGUCAACGAAGAAUAAGCGGAGGAGGGAAUGUCUUCGUGAUGACGUUAGUUGACGAAUAAGCCCCGGCUAAUUACGUGCCAGCAGCCGCGGUAACACGUAAGGGGCGAGCGUUGUUCGGAAUUAUUGGGCGUAAAGGGCGCGUAGGCGGUUUUGCCAGCCUGAUGUGAAAGCCUGGGGCUUAACCCUGGAAUUGCAUUGGGAACUGCAAGACUUGAAUCAUGGAAGGGAAAUCAGAAUUCCAGGUGUAGGGGUGAAAUCUGUAGAUAUCUGGAAGAAUACCGGUGGCGAAGGCGGAUUUCUGGCCAAUGAUUGACGCUGAGGCGCGAAAGUGCGGGGAGCAAACAGGAUUAGAUACCCUGGUAGUCCGCACUAUAAACGAUGAAUACUAGGUGUCAGUGAGCGAUCAUUGGUCCGGGCGCAAACGCAAUAAGUAUUCCGCCUGGGGAGUACGGUCGCAAGACUAAAACUCAAAGGAAUUGACGGGGACCCGCACAAGCAGCGGAGCAUGUUGUUUAAUUCGAGGCAACGCGAAGAACCUUACCAAAUCUUAACAUACCACUGACCUACACCGUAAAGGUGUACUCUGCUUCGGCAGCAGUGGAUACAGGUGGUGCAUGGUUGUCGUCAGCUCGUGUCGUGAGAUGUUGGGUUAAGUCCCGUAACGAGCGCAACCCCUAUUUUUAGUUGCCAUCAGGUAGUGCUGGGCACUCUAAAGAGACUGCCAGAGAUAAUCUGGAGGAAGGUGGGGAUGAUGUCAAAUCAUCAUGCCCUUUAUGAUUUGGGCUACAAACGUGCUACAAUGGUCGGUACAACAGGUUGCCAAGCCGCAAGGUGGAGCUAAUCCCAAAAACCGAUCUCAGUUCGGAUUGGGGGCUGCAACUCGCCCCCAUGAAGUUGGAGUUGCUAGUAAUCGCGAAUCAGCAUGUCGCGGUGAAUGCGUUCCCGGGUCUUGCACAAAGCGCCCGUCA